Molecule: ribosomal RNA, 486 nt
Filed under: uncultured bacterium
Lineage: Bacteria
Description: partial 16S ribosomal RNA
Rfam family: Bacterial small subunit ribosomal RNA
Source: RNAcentral
AUUGAACGCUGGCGGCAUGCCUUACACAUGCAAGUCGAACGGCAGCACGGGUGCUUGCACCUGGUGGCGAGUGGCGAACGGGUGAGUAAUACAUCGGAACAUGUCCUGUAGUGGGGGAUAGCCCGGCGAAAGCCGGAUUAAUACCGCAUACGAUCCACGGAUGAAAGCGGGGGACCUUCGGGCCUCGCGCUAUAGGGUUGGCCGAUGGCUGAUUAGCUAGUUGGUGGGGUAAAGGCCUACCAAGGCGACGAUCAGUAGCUGGUCUGAGAGGACGACCAGCCACACUGGGACUGAGACACGGCCCAGACUCCUACGGGAGGCAGCAGUGGGGAAUUUUGGACAAUGGCCGAAAGCCUGAUCCAGCAAUGCCGCGUGUGUGAAGAAGGCCUUCGGGUUGUAAAGCACUUUUGUCCGGAAAGAAAUCCUUGGCUCUAAUACAGUCGGGGGAUGACGGUACCGGAAGAAUAAGCACCGGCUAACUACGUG